GAGUUUGAUCGUGGCUCAGAACGAACGCUGGCGGCAGGCUUAACACAUGCAAGUCGAGCGCCCCUCACGGGGAGCGGCAGACGGGUGAGUAACGCGUGGGAACGUACCCUUUUCUACGGAAUAACCCAGGGAAACUUGGACUAAUACCGUAUGUGCCCUUCGGGGGAAAGAUUUAUCGGAAAAGGAUCGGCCCGCGUUGGAUUAGCUAGUUGGUGGGGUAAAGGCCUACCAAGGCGACGAUCCGUAGCUGGUCUGAGAGGAUGAUCAGCCACAUUGGGACUGAGACACGGCCCAAACUCCUACGGGAGGCAGCAGUGGGGAAUAUUGGACAAUGGGCGCAAGCCUGAUCCAGCCAUGCCGCGUGAGUGAUGAAGGCCUUAGGGUUGUAAAGCUCUUUCACCGGUGAAGAUAAUGACGGUAACCGGAGAAGAAGCCCCGGCUAACUUCGUGCCAGCCGCCGCUGUAA
This 466-nucleotide ribosomal RNA is filed under the name uncultured beta proteobacterium. Its description in RNAcentral is "bacterial SSU rRNA". It matches the Rfam family "Bacterial small subunit ribosomal RNA", at positions 9 to 523 of the family's 1533-position model. Lineage: Bacteria; Pseudomonadati; Pseudomonadota; Betaproteobacteria. The record is from RNAcentral.